This is a small nucleolar RNA of Lathyrus oleraceus (garden pea), 103 nucleotides long. NCBI's taxonomy places the organism in Eukaryota, Viridiplantae, Streptophyta, Magnoliopsida, Fabales, Fabaceae. The record is from RefSeq and is a predicted model, not a curated record.
AGUCCAUGGUGCAAACAUUUUAUAAUCAUUUCCUUGAAUCUCUCUCAUGCUUCGAAGAACGAUUCUCCAUGUGCCUAAAGAAGGUAAUUUGGUUUCUUAGAUG